Molecule: ribosomal RNA, 449 nt
Filed under: uncultured bacterium
Lineage: Bacteria
Description: bacterial SSU rRNA
Rfam family: Bacterial small subunit ribosomal RNA
Source: RNAcentral
AACGAACGCUGGCGGCAUGCCUAACACAUGCAAGUCGAACGAGACCUUCGGGUCUAGUGGCGCACGGGUGCGUAACGCGUGGGGAUCUGCCCUUUGCUUCGGAAUAACAGUUAGAAAUGACUGCUAAUACCGGAUGAUGACCUCGGUCCAAAGAUUUAUCGGCAAAAGGAUGAACCCGCGUAGGAUUAGCUAGUUGGUGGGUAAAGGCCUACCAAGGCGACGAUCCUUAGCUGGUCUGAGAGGAUGAUCAGCCACACUGGGACUGAGACACGGCCCAGACUCCUACGGGAGGCAGCAGUGGGGAAUAUUGGACAAUGGGCGAAAGCCUGAUCCAGCAAUGCCGCGUGAGUGAUGAAGGCCUUAGGGUGUAAAGCUCUUUUACCCGGGAUGAUAAUGACAGUACCGGGAGAAUAAGCUCCGGCUAACUCCGUGCCAGCAGCCGCGGUAAU